This 2014-nucleotide long non-coding RNA is filed under the name Nicotiana benthamiana. RNAcentral describes it as "long non-coding RNA (NBEN_LNC014760)". The record is from RNAcentral. Lineage: Eukaryota; Viridiplantae; Streptophyta; Magnoliopsida; Solanales; Solanaceae.
GAUGUUGAUUUGGUGUGCCUCUUCUUGGAGAAGUUCAGAGCCUUACAAUAAUAUUACUUUUAUAAGUGUAAGUGAAGAAGAAAGAACAACGCCCCUUUUAGGAGUCUUUUUCUUUGUCUUUAUAGCUAUGCACCCGCCAACUAGCGUUGGAUAGUCGUGAUUGAGUCGAGAGGGCGCCCGCCAGUAAUGAAUAGGCCAUGGCCUUAUUGAGUAUGCUGGACGAUUUUGGAAUGCUCGUCACUAACAAAUAAUCACGCCAUUUGUUAUUCAAAAUACGCUUAAAAAUAAUUAAUCUUAUUAAUUAUGACGGGUCUAAGUUUUGACCCAUAGGUCCAAAAGCCAAACAUACAUGCCAGACAAAGAACUACUGAGAAUAAAAGGUUUCAGACACUUGAAAUGACAUGAUGAACAAUGACCUCAAGAAUCCAUAACCAAUGCCAGAUUCACCCACAAGAUUAAUUUCCUUCACCUAAUCUACUUAAAUUAAACAAUCUCCCUAUAAUUUCUUCUUGAUCUUAUAACUUUCCUAUUUCUCAAAAUUCCCUCCACCUGCUGCCUGUGCUGCUUUCCUUGCUGCCUUUUCUUGAAGUGCCUUUGCAUCCCUGUUGAGAUAUUAAACACAAUAUCCGUGUUAGGAACACGAAUUAAUCGCCCUAAAACACGAGACUUGCUUUGGAGAAAAUUUUGCGGAGGAGGAACCUUUCUCGUCUUUGUUCAGGGCUCAAUAUAUCAUUCUUAGGUUGCUUGGACUUGUGAUUUGCCCUGGCUUGAGCCCUUUCACGAUCUCUAUCUCUUUGGUUCCCCCGUUAGCUUAAGUUAAGGUCAAAACAGGUAGGGAUCGAAUUAAAGUACGGCAACGUUGAACCAGAAAGGGGAAAAAAUCUAGUCUUUGACCCCAAAGCUGAAGGUAAGAUGACGAGCUUAUGAAAUCGAAAAUUUAAACUUGAUGGAUCCAGCCUUUAAAUUUCUUAGCACCAAAUUCAAUCUACCUUUUAAAUUGUGGAUUUAGAAUUUAAAAUUCACUGAUAUUUUAGUAACUUUUUGUUUGUUAUUCGACAAAAAUAUGCAUGACUGUCAAAAGAAUCAUAUUCAUGGAUAGGCAAAGAAUGGUCAAUUAAUAGUACGAGAGAUUACACUUUAAAAAAGACUCUAUUUUUAGAUACUUUUCCCAAUUUGUAGGCAACCAACCAAAUUAAGGACCAAAUAAGCUUGUACAUGUAUAAGCACCAGUAGAAAAAAUAAGAGCCUAACCUAGAAAAAGUUCUAUCUGCAGAAUCUUAAUUUAUUCUUACCCAAUUCUAGGCAACUAUGAAUUUGAAACAAUAUGAAAGAAUGGGGUAGAUAAUAUUUGCCUAGAAAAGAACCCUGUUUAUGAACAGGAAAAGGAAAAAAAAAACGAAGAGGAUUAGCAUGAAGAAAAUCAAAGAAAAGAAACAUAUCAUAAGGAUAUGAGACAUUCCUGAUUCUCCAACAGCCAAACAAGAUUAAACUGAUAAAUAGCUCUAGACAAGAUCCUGGAACCAAAACAAAAACCCAAAAAAACAAAAAAAGAGGAAUUUUAGAAAGAAAAAAACCAUAAUCGAAUUACACCCAACAUAACACAACAAAAUUGAAAGAGGAGAAAUAAUAAUUUGUGUAAAGGAAAAAGGGAUUUACCUGAUUGAGCUUAGAUUAGAAGUUUUUUGCUAAAGAUCGACCUUGAAAUUUGAGAAUAAGCUUCAAAAAGCAGCAGGACGAUAUUGAGAAGUUGGGUUAUUUGGAAAUGUCAAGAUUUAGGGGAGUAGGUGAUUUAUAGCUAAGAUGCGAAGAAUCGAGAAGCUACGAUUUCUCUUUUUCCUCUUCAAUUUUUAUUACACCGAGCGUAUAAAAUGCGAGGUUAGACGAGUUUUUUGCUUUAGGACGAAAUUGUAUUCGUGAAAAAUAAACUUACUAUUUGGAUUAAUUGAAUCUCCAUAUAUGUCAAGAAUAUUAGAAGGUGGUAAAAAAUUUGAGUCGAGAUAAAUCGAGUUGAGAG